GUCGUAACAAGGUUUCCGUAGGUGAGCCUGCGGAAGGAUCAUUA
This 44-nucleotide ribosomal RNA is filed under the name uncultured Cymatosiraceae. RNAcentral describes it as "partial 18S ribosomal RNA". It matches the Rfam family "Eukaryotic small subunit ribosomal RNA", at positions 1788 to 1831 of the family's 1831-position model. The record is from RNAcentral. Lineage: Eukaryota; Bacillariophyta; Thalassiosirophyceae; Cymatosirales; Cymatosiraceae.